This 460-nucleotide ribosomal RNA is filed under the name uncultured bacterium. RNAcentral describes it as "partial 16S ribosomal RNA". It matches the Rfam family "Bacterial small subunit ribosomal RNA", at positions 338 to 795 of the family's 1533-position model. The record is from RNAcentral.
CCUACGGGAGGCUGCAGUGAGGAAUAUUGGUCAAUGGGCGAGAGCCUGAACCAGCCAAGUCGCGUGAGGGAUGACGGCCCUACGGGUUGUAAACUUCUUUUGCAAGGGAGCAAAGUGCGGCACGUGUGCCUUUUUGUCUGUACUCUUAGAUAAAGGAUCGGCUAACUCCGUGCCAGCAGCCGCGGUAAUACGGAGGAUCCGAGCGUUAUCCGGAUGUAAUGGGUUUAAAGGGUGCGUAGAUGGGAUGAUAAGUCAGGCGGGAAAGUUUGCGGCUCAACCGUUAAACUGCAUUGGAUACUGGGAGUCUUGAGUGCAGGUGAGGUAGGCGGAAUUCGUGGUGUAGCGGUGAAAUGCUUAGAUAUCACGAAGAACUCCGAUUGCGAAGGCAGCGUACUGGACUGCAACUGACGUUGAUGCUCGAAAGCGUGGGUAUCAAACAGGAUUAGAUACCCCGGUAGUC